CGGAGGGAGCUAGCGUUGUUCGGAAUUACUGGGCGUAAAGCGCGCGUAGGCGGUCCAUUAAGUCAGAGGUGAAAGCCCGGGGCUCAACCCCGGAACUGCCUUUGAAACUAGCGGACUAGAAUCUUGGAGAGGUCAGUGGAAUUCCGAGUGUAGAGGUGAAAUUCGUAGAUAUUCGGAGGAACACCAGUGGCGAAGGCGACUGACUGGACAAGUAUUGACGCUGAGGUGCGAAAGCGUGGGGAGCAAACAGG
This 251-nucleotide ribosomal RNA is filed under the name uncultured bacterium. Its description in RNAcentral is "partial 16S ribosomal RNA". It matches the Rfam family "Bacterial small subunit ribosomal RNA", at positions 526 to 776 of the family's 1533-position model. The record is from RNAcentral.